GAUGAACGCUGGCGGCGUGCCUAAUACAUGCAAGUCGAGCGAACAGACGAGGAGCUUGCUCCUUUGACGUUAGCGGCGGACGGGUGAGUAACACGUGGAUAACCUACCUAUAAGACUGGGAUAACUUCGGGAAACCGGAGCUAAUACCGGAUAACAUGUUGAACCGCAUGGUUCAACAGUGAAAGACGGUCUUGCUGUCACUUAUAGAUGGAUCCGCGCCGCAUUAGCUAGUUGGUAAGGUAACGGCUUACCAAGGCAACGAUGCGUAGCCGACCUGAGAGGGUGAUCGGCCACACUGGAACUGAGACACGGUCCAGACUCCUACGGGAGGCAGCAGUAGGGAAUCUUCCGCAACGGGCGAAAGCCUGACGGAGCAACGCCGCGUGAGUGGAGAAGGUCUUCGGAUCGUAAAACUCUGUUAUUAGGGAAGAACAAAUGUGUAAGUAACUAUGCACGUCUUGACGGUACCUAAUCAGAAAGCCACGGCUAACUACGUG
This 497-nucleotide ribosomal RNA is filed under the name uncultured bacterium. RNAcentral's name for it is "partial 16S ribosomal RNA". It matches the Rfam family "Bacterial small subunit ribosomal RNA", at positions 28 to 507 of the family's 1533-position model. The record is from RNAcentral.